This 380-nucleotide long non-coding RNA is filed under the name Sorghum bicolor (sorghum). RNAcentral describes it as "long non-coding RNA (SBIC_LNC015339)". The record is from RNAcentral. Lineage: Eukaryota; Viridiplantae; Streptophyta; Magnoliopsida; Poales; Poaceae.
GAGGUGCCCAUGAAGCGCGCCGGACAGCCGGCUGAGGUUGCGCCUAGCUACGUCUUCCUCGCCAGCGAGCAGGACUCGUCGUACAUCACCGGACAGUUCCUCCACGUCAACGGUACACGCACGAGCCGCCGCCGCCGCCGGCCUGCUGCUGCUUAAUUUCUGCUGCUACUUGCAUUGGUUCUCACUCUCUCUGCUACCUACUCGUAGGUACUAACUGAUGUGUGUGUUGUUUUGCAGGAGGCGUCAUCGUCAAUGGGUAGAGAGAAGUUAGCUAGACGACGACGACGACGGGGAUCGCCGGCGGCGGUAGGAGGUGUGGCCAUGGAGUCCUUUUGGGGUGUGCGUCGUCGUGUCCAAGUCGGAGGGAAGGAAGUGUCGAG